AACGAACGCUGGCGGCAUGCCUAACACAUGCAAGUCGAACGAGACCUUCGGGUCUAGUGGCGCACGGGCGCGUAACGCGUGGGAAUCUGCCCUUAGGUUCGGAAUAACUCCCCGAAAGGGGUGCUAAUACCGGAUAAUGUCUUCGGACCAAAGAUUUAUCGCCUUUGGAUGGGCCCGCGUUGGAUUAGCUAGUUGGUAGGGUAAAAGCCUACCAAGGCGACGAUCCAUAGCUGGUCUGAGAGGAUGAUCAGCCACACUGGGACUGAGACACGGCCCAGACUCCUACGGGAGGCAGCAGUGGGGAAUAUUGGACAAUGGGCGAAAGCCUGAUCCAGCAAUGCCGCGUGAGUGAUGAAGGCCUUAGGGUUGUAAAGCUCUUUUACCCGGGAUGAUAAUGACAGUACCGGGAGAAUAAGCUCCGGCUAACUCCGUG
RNAcentral lists this ribosomal RNA (433 nucleotides) under uncultured bacterium. RNAcentral describes it as "partial 16S ribosomal RNA". It matches the Rfam family "Bacterial small subunit ribosomal RNA", at positions 29 to 507 of the family's 1533-position model. The record is from RNAcentral.